RNAcentral lists this ribosomal RNA (901 nucleotides) under uncultured archaeon. RNAcentral's name for it is "bacterial SSU rRNA". It matches the Rfam family "Archaeal small subunit ribosomal RNA", at positions 1 to 880 of the family's 1478-position model. The record is from RNAcentral.
UUUCCGGGUUGAUCCUGCCGGACCCUACUGCUAUCGGGGUGGGACUAAGACAUGCGAGUCGAGCGUCUCUAGCUAUGUUGAGACGCGGCAGACGGCUCAGUAACACGUGGCUAACCUACCCUCAGGACAGGGACAAACCCGGGAAACUGGGGCUAAUACCAGAUAGGCGAGGAUGCCUGGAAUGGUUUUUCGCUCAAAGGACCUUGGAAACAUGCUUUCAAGUCGCCUGAGGAUGGGACCGCGUCCGAUCAGGUUGUUGGUGAGGUAACGGCUCACCAAGCCUAUAACCGGUACGGGCCGUGAGAGCGGUAGCCCGGAGAUGGGUACUGAGACAAGGACCCAGGCCCUACGGGGCGCAGCAGUCGCGAAAACUCCGCAAUGCACGAAAGUGUGACGGGGCUACCCCGAGUGCUCUCCGCUGAGGAAAGCUUUUCUCUGGUGUAACAAGCCAGGGGAAUAAGGAGAGGGCAAGACUGGUGUCAGCCGCCGCGGUAAUACCAGCUCUCCGAGUGGUAGGGAUGUUUAUUGGGCUUAAAGCGUCCGUAGCCGGCUUAGCAAGUCUCCUGUUAAAUUCAGCGACCUAAUCGUUGAGCCGCGGGAGAUACUACUAGGCUAGGAGGCGGGAGAGGUCAACGGUACUUCCGGGGUAGGGGUGAAAUCCUAUAAUCCCGGGAGGACCACCAGUGGCGAAGGCUGUUGACUAGAACGCGCUCGACGGUGAGGGACGAAAGCUGGGGGAGCGAACCGGAUUAGAUACCCGGGUAGUCCCAGCUGUAAACGAUGCGAGCUAGGUGUUGGGGUGGCUACGUGCCACUUCAGUGCCGCAGGGAAGCCAUUAAGCUCGCCGCCUGGGGAGUACGGCCGCAAGGCUGAAACUUAAAGGAAUUGGCGGGGGAGCACA